This 26-nucleotide non-coding RNA is filed under the name Mus musculus (house mouse). The record is from RNAcentral. Lineage: Eukaryota; Metazoa; Chordata; Mammalia; Rodentia; Muridae.
UAGAGACAAACAGGUUGCUCAGCUGC